Molecule: non-coding RNA, 73 nt
Organism: Rhea pennata
Lineage: Eukaryota; Metazoa; Chordata; Aves; Rheiformes; Rheidae
Source: the annotation of a RefSeq genome assembly
GGUUUCAUAGUGUAGUGGUUAUCACAUCUGCUUUAUGCGCAGAAGGUCCUGGGUAUGAGCCCCAGUGGAACUA